UCUUUGAAAAACAAUGUAAGUAGCAGCCUAUUUAGCUUUAGAGGUGAUUUCGUAUUUUUAUUAUGAAUGUUUUUGUCUCUGUUCUUAAAGUGUCUAUAUUCUGUUUUUCCACAGUCUUAAUUCUGCUGGCAGCGCUUCCAAUAGUUUUGUUACUGGCUGUACUGGCAUUGAUCUACUGGAAAUGCAGAGGAAGAAGAGAUGUCCAAAAGACAACAAAUGAUGGACUAGUGCUGUGUACUGAAAAUGAGAAACAGGGUGAAGUAAAUCCUGAAAGUCUAACUCAAGGAGAAAACUUAAACCCGGAUGAAAAUGUGGAUGAGGUGACAUAUUCUUCUGUUGUCCAUAUUAAGACUGACACCAAACCAGCUCACAAACAAAUUGUCAUGGCAGAGCACUCUGAGUACGCCAGCAUCAAAUGAAGUCAAAAUAUACAGUUUUAGGGGCCAAUUAUGCAACAAAUCUGCAGGUUUUUCCUAUUCUUCUUCUUAAUAUUCUUUUUGUAAACAUUUAGAACUUUGUCUUUAAUGUUAAAUUUUACCAAAUGUUUUAUGCAGAUGAGUUUGAGGGAUAAGUUACUCAUAUAGGCUACUGUAAUGGGAUGGAUGUGCUGUGUGGUUGCCCAGUCAGGGCUGUUAACUCUCAUUCAUUCAGCAUGGGACCUGCGCAGUAGACACUGUUCUAACGCUCUCACGACAUUAUCUCACACAGUGAAAACGCUCAAAGAACGCUUGUGAUUUCUUCUCAUAAUAACGAUUCACUAGUUCGCACUAUAAGAUUUAGCAAAUAGUAAGCAUAUUUGUCAUGCGAUCUUGAAGGAGGGCUCUGAACUCGGAAUAUAGCCUGAACCCAGAGAAAUCCCCCUAGUAUAGGAUGAGAAUAGUUUAAAAGUGAGAUGUUGGGUUGGAGGAGGGAUGCUGAAAAACUGUCGUGGGACGGAGCCAACUCAGUGAGUUGGCUGUGAAUAUAUAUACAUAUCAUGCUAAUUAAGUUGAUAGACUAGAUGAGCUGAUUGGCUGGUUAUCUGAUCGUGCUUCUCGCGUACCUUAAUAAAACAUCAUUCAAAGACGAUGUAAAUAAGAGA
This is a long non-coding RNA of Cyprinus carpio (common carp), 1081 nucleotides long. The record is from Ensembl. NCBI's taxonomy places the organism in Eukaryota, Metazoa, Chordata, Actinopteri, Cypriniformes, Cyprinidae.